Molecule: transfer RNA, 72 nt
Filed under: Acidobacteriota bacterium
Lineage: Bacteria; Pseudomonadati; Acidobacteriota
Also listed under: 2 other names
Description: Acidobacteria bacterium tRNA-Thr
Rfam family: tRNA
About the family: Transfer RNA (tRNA) molecules are approximately 80 nucleotides in length.
Source: RNAcentral
GCCGAUGUAGCUCAGGGGUAGAGCGUUUCCUUGGUAAGGAAAAGGUCCUGGGUUCAAAUCCCAGCAUCGGCU